UCCUCGCUCCAAGAAUCGCAACGAAGCACACGCACAGAGUGCCCUCGGGCAUCUCGCUCAGCUUUGGGAGAAAGUCCCCGGACAUCGGUCCUCUGGAUCGCACUUUCAGCAACGAACCGCCAUAGAAGCGCGGCCUCGUACCACUACGGCGCUUCUCACUCUCUCUUCCGUUUGUACUCUUUGCCUGGGCUUUCUCGACGCUACGGGUGGAGGAGCUGGUGCCUGGGCGAUGAUAUGAGCCCGCUGGUCACCUUGCCCGUCGCCGACGGAUCGACGAGGGCUCAGAGGAGGGGGGAGAUGCCGGGUUGUGCUGGGUAUCGAGGGUUUUCUCGUCCAGUUUAUGGUCAUGCGAUUGCUUCUGCGCGUCUCGGUAAUACGGGACGGCGGCAGGAGUAACUCAAUGGGGCUUAUUCUUGACGCGAGG
Molecule: RNase MRP RNA, 424 nt
Filed under: Ascochyta rabiei
Lineage: Eukaryota; Fungi; Ascomycota; Dothideomycetes; Pleosporales; Didymellaceae
Description: Didymella rabiei RNase MRP
Rfam family: RNase MRP
About the family: RNase MRP is an enzymatically active ribonucleoprotein with two distinct roles in eukaryotes. In mitochondria it plays a direct role in the initiation of mitochondrial DNA replication.
Source: Rfam by way of RNAcentral